RNAcentral lists this ribosomal RNA (489 nucleotides) under fungal sp. TRN13v. RNAcentral's name for it is "SSU rRNA". It matches the Rfam family "Eukaryotic small subunit ribosomal RNA", at positions 57 to 553 of the family's 1831-position model. Lineage: Eukaryota; Fungi. The record is from RNAcentral.
GUCUAAGUAUAAGCAACUAUACGGUGAAACUGCGAAUGGCUCAUUAAAUCAGUUAUCGUUUAUUUGAUAGUACCUUACUACAUGGAUAACCGUGGUAAUUCUAGAGCUAAUACAUGCUAAAAACCCCGACUUCGGGAGGGGUGUAUUUAUUAGAUAAAAAACCAAUGCCCUUCGGGGCUCCUUGGUGAAUCAUAAUAACUUAACGAAUCGCAUGGCCUUGCGCCGGCGAUGGUUCAUUCAAAUUUCUGCCCUAUCAACUUUCGAUGGUAGGAUAGUGGCCUACCAUGGUAUCAACGGGUAACGGGGAAUUAGGGUUCUAUUCCGGAGAGGGAGCCUGAGAAACGGCUACCACAUCCAAGGAAGGCAGCAGGCGCGCAAAUUACCCAAUCCCGACACGGGGAGGUAGUGACAAUAAAUACUGAUACAGGGCUCUUUUGGGUCUUGUAAUUGGAAUGAGUACAAUUAAAUCCCUAACGAGAACAAUUGACG